This 940-nucleotide ribosomal RNA is filed under the name uncultured archaeon. RNAcentral describes it as "bacterial SSU rRNA". It matches the Rfam family "Archaeal small subunit ribosomal RNA", at positions 1 to 922 of the family's 1478-position model. The record is from RNAcentral.
UUCCGGUUGAUCCCGCCGGAGGGUACUGCUAUCAGAUUUCGAUUAAGCCAUGCAAGUCAGCUCAUUCACUUGGAUGGGCGGCAUACGGCUGAGUAACACGUGGUCAAUCUAACCUAAGGACCAGAAUAACCUCGGGAAACUGAGGCUAACUCUGGAUAGGUGUCCUAUGCUGGAAGGCUUGGACGUUAAAACAGUUGGUGAAUUGGAGCCAAUCUGCCUUAGGAUGAGACUGCGGAGGAUUAUGGUAGUUGGUGAGGUAAUGGCUCACCAAGCCGAUAAUCCUUAGGGGCCAUGGGAGUGGUGGCCCCCAGAAGGGUACUGAGACAAGGACCCUAGUCCUACGGGAUGCAGCAGGCGCGAAACUUCUGCAAUGCGCGAAAGCGUGACAGGGGAAAUCUGAGUGGUAGAAACUUAGUUUCUAUCUUUUGCCAAGUGUAAAUAGCUUGGAGAAUAAGGGUGUGGGCAAGACUGGUGGCAGCCGCCGCGGUAACACCAGCGCCUCGAGUGGUACCCACGAAUAUUGGGCCUAGAGUGUCCGUAGCCGGACUAUUAAGUCCGCUGUGAAAUGUUGGAGCUCAACUCUAACGCGUGCAGUGGAUACUGUUAAGUCUUGGGAAUGGGGGAGGGUCGGAGUACUUCCAGGGUAGGGGUAAAAUCCGUUGAGCCUGGAAGGACUACCAGUGGCGAAGGCGCCGAUCCAAAACAUAUCCGACGGUGAGGGACGAAAGCUGGGGGAGCGAACGGGAUUAGAUACCCCGGUAGUCCCAGCUGUAAAUGAUGCAGACUGUGGUGUUUCUCCAGAGUAAUCUGGGGAAGUGCUGUAGCGUAGGUGUUAAGUCUGCCGCCUGGGGAGUACGAUCGCAAGAUUGAAACUUAAAGGAAUUGGCGGGGGAGCACCACAAGCCGUGGAUGCUACGGUUUAAUUGGAUUCAACGCCGGG